GGAGAGGUGGCUGAGUGGUCUAAAGCGGCAGAUUGCUAAUUUGUUGUACAAUUUGUAUUGUACCGAGGGUUCGAAUCCCUUCCUCUCCU
Molecule: transfer RNA, 89 nt
Filed under: Gloiopeltis furcata
Lineage: Eukaryota; Rhodophyta; Florideophyceae; Gigartinales; Endocladiaceae
Description: tRNA-Ser
Rfam family: tRNA
About the family: Transfer RNA (tRNA) molecules are approximately 80 nucleotides in length. Their secondary structure includes four short double-helical elements and three loops (D, anti-codon, and T loops).
Source: RNAcentral